UGGAACCCCUUCUCUUCCAUUUUAUGAAUCACCAAGGACCAUGGAUUCAGUCACCUGCAUCUUAAAUGGCCUGAGGGUUGUGUCUUCAGGCUCCAUGGUGUCAAAUAAUUUUGACAGGCAAUGGAAAGGCAAUAUUUCUAGGGCGGGCUCUCCCUUCUGUUUUGCCCAUAGACUUUUCAAUCAAUCAAAGCCAGGCUUUUUUUCCCCACUGAAGUGUUCAAUAAUUCAUCAGACUCUGGCUUAGGGCCAUGGCUGAUGUUCGGAAGAAGAAUUGCAAUGAAGAGGAGGAGGAGAAGAGUGGAUUGCAUUUUGGGCAAAUUUACAGGCCGCAGACAAUUAAAUGUUGCUAACAGGGCAACGGCUCUCGUUGAGUUCACAGAAUCAAAUUUCAACAGAAAACUUUUGAGCUGCCUCAUAAAAGUCCAUUUUCAUUUAUUUGAUCAUAAUUACAUUCUAUUGUUUUCAUUAUGUGUCAUUUUUA
Molecule: long non-coding RNA, 481 nt
Organism: Sinocyclocheilus rhinocerous
Lineage: Eukaryota; Metazoa; Chordata; Actinopteri; Cypriniformes; Cyprinidae
Exons: 3
Source: RefSeq, a predicted model, not a curated record